CUUCUUAUUCUUCUUGAAGGUCUUCUUUCCCUUCUUCUUGAAGUCGGUAUUCUGUUGGACAUAAUUCUUUCCCUUGGGCUUGUGGGAAUUGAAGUUCCUCUGAUGUACCAUAUUGGCAGUAGAAGAGCUUUCCACCGCUUUUCCAUUGGAGUCCUUUGCUCUCGAGUUCUGCUCAACACUCAGAUGGCCGAUGAUGUCCUCGACUGAGAACUCACGCCUCUGAUGUUUCAGCGUAGUAGCAAAGUUCCUCCAGGAAUUAGUGAGCUUAUCAAUUAUACAGCCCACGACAAACUUGCCCGGCAAAUUGCACUUUGGUCCAAGCUUGUUUCAGCGUAUCCCAAAUUAACGCAGUCCACCGUCUUUGGUCCAAGCUUACGCUUCUUGGGGAUCGGUACAUUGACUUUCGCCAAGUAGCCCCAAGUACGUAAGUACGAGAGCGUCGUCCUUCUCUUCGACCACUCCUCAUAAGAAGCGACUUCAUUAUCUUUUGUAGGAACCUUAUUCAGGACAUGACACGUAGUCAAUAUAGCCUCCCCCCACCAUGCCUUGGAUAAACCCGAUGUAUCUAACAUGGCGUUAACCAAAUCAGUUAGAGUACGGUUUUUCCGCUCGGCAACCCCGUUUGACUGGGGUGAAUAGGGAGGCGUCCUCUCAUGAAUAAUGCCGUGUUCCGCACAAAAGAAAUCAAACUCGUUUGAGAAGUACUCUCCACCACGAUCAGACCGGACUCGUUUAAUUUUCUUUUCAAGUUGAUUCUCAACUUCUGCCUUAUAGAUUUUAAAGUAGUGUAGAGCCUCAUCUUUAGUAUUUAACAGAUACACAUAACAAUAUCUAGUGGAAUCAUCUAUCAAUGUCAAAUAUUUCUUUCCACCUUUAGUCAACACACCAUUCAUCUCACAAAGAUCAAAAUGUAUGAGUUCUGAUGGUGCCAAGUGUCUCUCCUCUGCAGCCUUGUGAGGCUUGCGAGGUUGCUUUGCUUGCACACAUGAAUGGCACUUAGAACCUUUGGCUAAAGUGAACGUCGGGGUUAAAUUCAGUUUUGCUAGCCGCGACAUAACACCGAAACUUAUGUGACAAAGACGUGAAUGCCAAACUUCAGAUUCAUUAACACUCGAAUGAAUAUUGUUCACGACUUUAUUACAAAAAACUGCAAGAGAAAGGCAGAACAGACCUCCGCAUUCAUAACCUUUUCCAACGAAAAGUCCAUAUUUCAUAACAACUACUUUAUUAGACUUGAAUACCAACUUAAACCCUUCUCUACACAGAAGGGAGCCACUAACGAGAUUCUUCUUGAUGGCGGGAACAUGCUGCACGUUCUUCAGCCGCACGAUCCUCCCCGAAGUAAACUUCAGAUCGACCGUGCCAACACCAAGAACAGAAGCACUCGCGCCAUUCCCCAUCAAUACGGACCCGAGACCGGUGGCCUGGUAAGAAGAAAACAAUGAUAUGUCAGCACACACAUGAAUAUUUGCACCCGUGUCCACCCACCAAUCGGUGGACUGACAAACUGAAAAUACAGUAAGUAAAUUACCGUACCCAGAUGCACCACUUUCAUUGUGGCCCACAAUCAUAUUGGCAAACUUGGAGUCCUGCGCCGGCUUCUUGUACUUGUUUGGGCAUUUGUUCGCCCAAUGUUCCUCUGAACCACAAGUAUAGCAGCCAUCUCCCUUAUUAUUCUUCUUGAAGGUCUUCUUUCCCUUCUUCUUGAAGUCGGUAUUCUGUUGGACAUAAUUCUUUCCCUUGGGCUUGUGGGAAUUGAAGUUCCUCUGAUGUACCAUAUUGGCAGUAGAAGAGCUUUCCACCGCUUUUCCAUUGGAGUCCUUUGCUCUCGAGUUCUGCUCAACACUCAGAUGGCCGAUGAUGUCCUCGACUGAGAACUCACGCCUCUGAUGUUUCAGCGUAGUAGCAAAGUUCCUCCAGGAAUUAGUGAGCUUAUCAAUUAUACAGCCCACGACAAACUUGCCCGGCAAAUUGCACUUUGGUCCAAGCUUGUUUCAGCGUAUCCCAAAUUAACGCAGUCCACCGUCUUUGGUCCAAGCUUACGCUUCUUGGGGAUCGGUACAUUGACUUUCGCCAAGUAGCCCCAAGUACGUAAGUACGAGAGCGUCGUCCUUCUCUUCGACCACUCCUCAUAAGAAGCGACUUCAUUAUCUUUUGUAGGAACCUUAUUCAGGACAUGACACGUAGUCAAUAUAGCCUCCCCCCACCAUGCCUUGGAUAAACCCGAUGUAUCUAACAUGGCGUUAACCAAAUCAGUUAGAGUACGGUUUUUCCGCUCGGCAACCCCGUUUGACUGGGGUGAAUAGGGAGGCGUCCUCUCAUGAAUAAUGCCGUGUUCCGCACAAAAGAAAUCAAACUCGUUUGAGAAGUACUCUCCACCACGAUCAGACCGGACUCGUUUAAUUUUCUUUUCAAGUUGAUUCUCAACUUCUGCCUUAUAGAUUUUAAAGUAGUGUAGAGCCUCAUCUUUAGUAUUUAACAGAUACACAUAACAAUAUCUAGUGGAAUCAUCUAUCAAUGUCAAAUAUUUCUUUCCACCUUUAGUCAACACACCAUUCAUCUCACAAAGAUCAAAAUGUAUGAGUUCUGAUGGUGCCAAGUGUCUCUCCUCUGCAGCCUUGUGAGGCUUGCGAGGUUGCUUUGCUUGCACACAUGAAUGGCACUUAGAACCUUUGGCUAAAGUGAACGUCGGGGUUAAAUUCAGUUUUGCUAGCCGCGACAUAACACCGAAACUUAUGUGACAAAGACGUGAAUGCCAAACUUCAGAUUCAUUAACACUCGAAUGAAUAUUGUUCACGACUUUAUUACAAAAAACUGCAAGAGAAAGGCAGAACAGACCUCCGCAUUCAUAACCUUUUCCAACGAAAAGUCCAUAUUUCAUAACAACUACUUUAUUAGACUUGAAUACCAACUUAAACCCUUCUCUACACAGAAGGGAGCCACUAACGAGAUUCUUCUUGAUGGCGGGAACAUGCUGCACGUUCUUCAGCCGCACGAUCCUCCCCGAAGUAAACUUCAGAUCGACCGUGCCAACACCAAGAACAGAAGCACUCGCGCCAUUCCCCAUCAAUACGGACCCGAGACCGGUGGCCUGGUAAGAAGAAAACAAUGAUAUGUCAGCACACACAUGAAUAUUUGCACCCGUGUCCACCCACCAAUCGGUGGACUGACAAACUGAAAAUACAGUAAGUAAAUUACCGUACCCAGAUGCACCACUUUCAUUGUGGCCCACAAUCAUAUUGGCAAACUUGGAGUCCUGCGCCGGCUUCUUGUACUUGUUUGGGCAUUUGUUCGCCCAAUGUUCCUCUGAACCACAAGUAUAGCAGCCAUCUCCCUUAUUAUUCUUCUUGAAGGUCUUCUUUCCCUUCUUCUUGAAGUCGGUAUUCUGUUGGACAUAAUUCUUUCCCUUGGGCUUGUGGGAAUUGAAGUUCCUCUGAUGUACCAUAUUGACAGCAGAAGAGCUUUCCACCGCUUUUCCAUUGGAGUCCUUUGCUCUCGAGUUCUGCUCAACACUCAGAUGGCCGAUGAUGUCCUCUACUAAGAACUCACGUCUCUGAUGUUUCAGAGUAGUAGCAAAGUUCCUGCAGGAAUUAGGGAGCUUAGCA
RNAcentral lists this long non-coding RNA (3605 nucleotides) under Hordeum vulgare. Its description in RNAcentral is "long non-coding RNA (HVUL_LNC005734)". Lineage: Eukaryota; Viridiplantae; Streptophyta; Magnoliopsida; Poales; Poaceae. The record is from RNAcentral.